GAAAUUGAAUUCGUAGUGAAGAUGCUACGUCCAUAUUGUAAGACGAAAAGACCCCAUUGAGCUUUACUAAAGACUUGCAUGGCUAAAAAUAAUUUAAUUUAAAUAAAAAGUUUAGAUAAUGUGGGAUCCGUUUCCGGUUAAUAAAACACCACUCUUUUAUUUUAAGAGAGCUAACAUCGCAGGGAUAAUGUAAGUUGGAUAGUUUGGUUGGGGCGACCACCUUUUAAAAGGUAACGAAGGUGAGCUUAAGGUCCGUAGUUAAUAGCCG
RNAcentral lists this ribosomal RNA (268 nucleotides) under Heteranthus verruculatus. RNAcentral describes it as "partial large subunit ribosomal RNA". It matches the Rfam family "Bacterial large subunit ribosomal RNA", at positions 2038 to 2333 of the family's 2925-position model. The record is from RNAcentral. Lineage: Eukaryota; Metazoa; Cnidaria; Anthozoa; Actiniaria; Phymanthidae.